AACGCGAAGAACCUUACCUGGGCUAGAAUGUGCGAGACGACCUCAGAGAUGGGGUUUCCUGGGAAACCAGGCUCAAAACAAGGUGCUGCAUGGCUGUCGUCAGCUCGUGUCGUGAGAUGUUGGGUUAAGUCCCGCAACGAGCGCAACCCUUACCAGUCGUUACCAUCAUUAAGUUGGGGACUCAACUGGAACUGCCGGUGACAAACCGGAGGAAGGUGGGGAUGACGUCAAGUCCUCAUGGCCUUUAUGUCCAGGGCUACACACGUGCUACAAUGGCAUCUACAAACCGCUGCAAACUCGCGAGAGGGAGCCAAUCGGAAAAAGGAUGUCUCAGUUCGGAUUGCAGUCUGCAACUCGACUGCAUGAAGCUGGAAUCGCUAGUAAUCGCGGAUCAGCACGCCGCGGUGAAUACGUUCCCGGGCCUUGUACACACCGCGAGC
This 440-nucleotide ribosomal RNA is filed under the name uncultured bacterium. RNAcentral describes it as "bacterial SSU rRNA". It matches the Rfam family "Bacterial small subunit ribosomal RNA", at positions 958 to 1397 of the family's 1533-position model. The record is from RNAcentral.